GUAGAAGCACCAUUUUUGGAUGGAAAAAACCCUUCAGGAAAGUAUACGUAUCACAUGUAACAUGUAGUGUAACAAGUAUGAACAGUAAGGUUUUUACAUACAGUAGUACACAUAUUACAUACGUACAUAACUUUUUUUUACAGGAAUUUCCAACCAAGUUUGAUUAUGUACAUAUGUACAUGUUAUAAACCACUGUACGUAUGGUUACUGUAUGUAACUUACUAAACAUACAUAACAUGACUUAACUUUGAUACUUUUUUGGUACAUUCCAGAAAACCAGGACCCCCUCCAUGAUGCAGGCUAUGGGGCCACAUAAAACUUUGUCCAGGGUUACUACAUAACAUAGCACGACAACUGUAAACUAUGUACUACUGUACUAAAGAACCCCCUGAAUGAUGUAGGCUAUGGGGCCACAUAAGACUUUGUCCAUCCAGGGUUAUAGUGAACGACAAUUUUAAACUAAAGAACCCCCUGAAUGAUGUAGGCUAUGGGGCCACAUAAGACUUUGUCCAUCCAGGGUUAUAGUGAACGACAAUUUUAAACUAAAGAACCCCCUGAAUGAUGUAGGCUAUGGGGCCACAUAAGACUUUGUGCAUCCAGGGUUACGUUGAACGUCAAAUUUAAACUAAAAGUAAGG
Macrobrachium nipponense is the source of this 637-nucleotide long non-coding RNA. RefSeq lists it as uncharacterized. The transcript has 4 exons. The record is from RefSeq and is a predicted model, not a curated record. Lineage: Eukaryota; Metazoa; Arthropoda; Malacostraca; Decapoda; Palaemonidae.